This 106-nucleotide ribosomal RNA is filed under the name uncultured eukaryote. Its description in RNAcentral is "partial small subunit ribosomal RNA". It matches the Rfam family "Eukaryotic small subunit ribosomal RNA", at positions 1676 to 1785 of the family's 1831-position model. The record is from RNAcentral.
UCGCUCCUACCGAUUGAGUGAUCCGGUGAAUAAUUUGGACUGUUGCGAUCCAGUUAAUGGUUUCGCGGCGGGAAGUUUAGUAAACCUGAUCACUUAGAGGAAGGAG